UUUUUGGAGGGCAAGUCUGGUGCCAGCAGCCGCGGUAAUUCCAGCUCCAAUAGCGUAUAUUAAAGUUGUUGCAGUUAAAAAGCUCGUAGUUGAAUUUCGGGGUUCUACCGUUGGUCGGGCAAUAGUCUGUACUGGCGUGUAGAAUUUCUACCUUCUGGGGAACCAUCAUGUUAUUUAUUUAGCGUGGUGGGAAACCAGGACCUUUACCUUGAAAAAAUUAGAGUGUUCAAAGCAGGCUUACGUCUGAAUACAUUAGCAUGGAAUAAUAAAAUAGGACGGUGGUCCUGUUUUGUUGGUUUCUGAAUCACCGUAAUGAUUAAUAGGGAUAGUUGGGGGCAUUAGUAUUCAAUUGUCAGAGGUGAAAUUCUUGGAUUUAUUGAAGACUAACUUCUGCGAAAGCAUUUGCCAAGGAUGUUUUCAUUAAUCAAGAACGAAAGUUAGGGGAUCGAAGACGAUCAGAUACCGUCGUAGUCUUAACCAUAAACUAUGCCGACUAGGGAUC
RNAcentral lists this ribosomal RNA (502 nucleotides) under Gigaspora decipiens. RNAcentral's name for it is "SSU rRNA". It matches the Rfam family "Eukaryotic small subunit ribosomal RNA", at positions 539 to 1054 of the family's 1831-position model. The record is from RNAcentral. Lineage: Eukaryota; Fungi; Glomeromycota; Glomeromycetes; Diversisporales; Gigasporaceae.